Molecule: ribosomal RNA, 297 nt
Filed under: uncultured bacterium
Lineage: Bacteria
Description: partial 16S ribosomal RNA
Rfam family: Bacterial small subunit ribosomal RNA
Source: RNAcentral
CCUACGGGAGGCAGCAGUAGGGAAUCUUCCACAAUGGACGAAAGUCUGAUGGAGCAACGCCGCGUGAGCGAAGAAGUACCUCGGUAUGUAAAGCUCUAUCAGCAGGGAAGAAAAUGACGGUACCUGACUAAGAAGCCCCGGCUAAAUACGUGCCAGCAGCCGCGGUAAUACGUAUGGGGCAAGCGUUAUCCGGAUUUACUGGGUGUAAAGGGAGCGCAGGCGGCCUGCCAAGUCUGGUGUGAAAACCCGGGGCCCAACCCCGGGCCUGCAUUGGAAACUGGCGGGCUGGAGUGUCGG